Molecule: microRNA precursor, 81 nt
Filed under: Saimiri boliviensis boliviensis (Bolivian squirrel monkey)
Lineage: Eukaryota; Metazoa; Chordata; Mammalia; Primates; Cebidae
Description: miRNA (ENSSBOG00000012979.1)
Source: RNAcentral
UAGGUUGGUGCAAAAGUAAUCACAGUUUUUGCUAUUACUUUUAAUGGCAAGAACUGUGAUUACUUUUGCAUCAACCUUAUA